Halothece sp. PCC 7418 is the source of this 2825-nucleotide ribosomal RNA. It matches the Rfam family "Bacterial large subunit ribosomal RNA". NCBI's taxonomy places the organism in Bacteria, Bacillati, Cyanobacteriota, Cyanophyceae, Chroococcales, Halothecacae. The record is from Rfam.
GGUCAAGCUACAAAGAGCUAACGGAAGAGCCCUCGGCACACAGAGGCGAAGAAGGACGUGGUAACCGACGAAACGCUGCGGGGAGCUGGAAACAAGCAUUGAGCCGUAGGUAUCCGAAUGGGGAAACCCCAAGCACGACCCACUGAAUCAAUAGGUGGGAACGAGCGAACGCGGUGAACUGAAACAUCUCAGUAGCCGUAGGAAAAGAAAACAAAAGUGAUUCUCCCAGUAGCGGCGAGCGAAAGGGGAAGAGCCUAAACCAGUCCCUGCGGGGAUUGGGGUUGUGGGACAGCAAAACCCGACUCAAAGCGUUAAACGAAGCAACUGAAAACUGCACCAGAGAAGGUAAAAGUCCUGUAGUUGACAACGCAGAGAGCGGAGCUGAAUCCCGAGUAGCUCGGGGCACGUGGAAUCCCCGAGUGAAUCAGCCAGGACCACCUGGUAAGGCUAAAUACUCCUGUGUGACCGAUAGCGAACCAGUACCGCGAGGGAAAGGUGAAAAGAACCCCGGCGAGGGGAGUGAAAAAGAACGUGAAACCGUUAGCUUACAAGCAGUGGGAGGACGAUUCAACGUCUGACCGCGUGCCUGUUGAAGAAUGAGCCGGCGAGUAAUUAGACUGUGGCCGGUUAAGCUGUCUUAGCAGCGAAGCCCAAGCGAAAGCGAGUCCGAACAGGGCGCUAGUCACAGGUAAUUGACCCGAACCCGGGUGAACUAACCAUGGCCAGGAGGAAGCUUGGGUAGUACCAAGUGGAAGUCCGAACCGACCAACGUUGAAAAGUUGGCGGAUGAGCUGUGGUUAGCGGUGAAAUGCCAAUCGAACUCGGAGCUAUCUGGUUCUCCCCGAAAUGCGUUUAGGCGCAGCAGCGAGGAUAAGCCACUGGGGGUAAAGCACUGUUUCGCUGCGGGCUGCGAAAGCGGUACCAAAGCGAGACAAACUCAGAAUACCAGUGGGGAACUCGCCAGUGAGACGGUGGGGGAUAAGCUUCAUCGUCAAGAGGGAAACAGCCCAGACCACCAGCUAAGGUCCCGAAAUGAUGACUCAGUGAGAAAGGAGGUAGGAACGCCGAGACAACCAGGAGGUUUGCCUAGAAGCAGCCACCCUUAAAAGAGUGCGUAAUAGCUCACUGGUCAAGCGUUCCCGCGCCGAAAAUGAACGGGGCUAAGUCAUCUACCGAAGCUGUGGACAGUAUUGGACUGUGGUAGGGGAGCGUUCUAUCAAGGGAGAAGCACUAGCGGUAAGCAGGUGUGGACGAGAUAGAAGUGAGAAUGUCGGCUUGAGUAGCGAAAACUUUGGUAAGAAUCCAAAGCCCCGAAACCCUAAGGGUUCCUCCGGAAGGCUCGUCCGCGGAGGGUUAGUCGGGACCUAAGGCGAGGCCGAUUGGCGUAGUCGAUGGACAUUGGGUCAACAAUCCCAAACUACUGAGUGGGAGCAACGUCGGGACGCAUGAGGAUAGGUGAUGCCCUGAAUGGAUUGGGAGGGAGUUACGACUCCCGUAUCACUGAAAGUAGUGCCAAGAAAAGCGAUUGUUGUGAAGAAAGCCAGUACCCGUACCCGAAACCGACACAGGUAGGGAGGUUGAGAAUACCAAGGGGCGCGAGAAAACUCUCUCUAAGGAACUCGGCAAAAUCACCCCGUAACUUCGGGAGAAGGGGUACCAGCGAGAGCUGGUCGCAGUGACCAGGCCCAGGCGACUGUUUACCAAAAACACAGGUCUCUGCCAACUCGAAAGAGGAAGUAUAGGGGCUGACGCCUGCCCAGUGCUGGAAGGUUAAGGAAGUGGGUUAGCCCUGCGGGGCGAAGCUAGCGACCGAAGCCCCAGUGAACGGCGGCCGUAACUAUAACGGUCCUAAGGUAGCGAAAUUCCUUGUCGGGUAAGUUCCGACCCGCACGAAAGGCGUAACGAUCUGGGCGCUGUCUCGGAGAGAGACUCGGCGAAAUAGGACUGUCUGUGAAGAUACGGACUACCUACACCAGGACAGAAAGACCCCAUGAAGCUUUACUGUAACCUGAAGUGGGGUUCGGGCUGAGCUUGCGCAGGAUAGGUGGGAGGCGAAGAAGGUUUCCUCGUGGGGAAACCAGAGCCAUCGGUGAGAUACCACUCUGGUUCAGCUAGAAUUCUAACCUUAACCCGUGAACCGGGGAAGGGACAGCUGCAGGCGGGCAGUUUGACUGGGGCGGUCGCCUCCAAAAAGGUAACGGAGGCGCGCCAAGGUUCCCUCAGGCUGGUUGGAAAUCAGCCGUAGAGUGCAAAGGCAGAAGGGAGCUUGACUGCAAGAGUGACAACUCGAGCAGGGACGAAAGUCGGCCUUAGUGAUCCGACGGCCCUGAGUGGAAAGGCCGUCGCUCAACGGAUAAAAGUUACUCUGGGGAUAACAGGCUGAUCUCCCCCAAGAGUUCACAUCGACGGGGAGGUUUGGCACCUCGAUGUCGGCUCAUCGCAACCUGGGGCUGAAGUCGGUCCCAAGGGUUGGGCUGUUCGCCCAUUAAAGCGGUACGCGAGCUGGGUUCAGAACGUCGUGAGACAGUUCGGUCCAUAUCCGGUGUAGGCGCAAGAGCAUUGAGAGGAGCCUUCCUUAGUACGAGAGGACCGGGAAGGACGCACCGCUGGUGUACCUGUUAUCGUGCCCACGGUAAACGCAGGGUAGCCAAGUGCGGAGUGGAUAACCGCUGAAAGCAUCUAAGUGGGAAGCCCACCUUAAGAUGAGUGCUCUCAUUCUGGUAAGGAAGUAAGGUCACAGGAAGAACACCUGUUUGCUCGGCGCUAGGUGGAAGUCUGGCAACAGAUGAAGCCGAGGCGUGCGAACCGACCGAGGGCUUGACCUC